UGGGGAAUAUUGGACAAUGGGCGCAAGCCUGAUCCAGCCAUGCCGCGUGAGUGAUGAAGGCCCUAGGGUUGUAAAGCUCUUUCACCGGUGAAGAUAAUGACGGUAACCGGAGAAGAAGCCCCGGCUAACUUCGUGCCAGCAGCCGCGGUAAUACGAAGGGGGCUAGCGUUGUUCGGAUUUACUGGGCGUAAAGCGCACGUAGGCGGACUUUUAAGUCAGGGGUGAAAUCCCGGGGCUCAACCCCGGAACUGCCUUUGAUACUGGAAGUAUUGAGUAUGGUAGAGGUGAGUGGAAUUCCGAGUGUAGAGGUGAAAUUCGUAGAUAUUCGGAGGAACAACAGUGGCGAAGGAGGCUCACUGGACGAUUACUGACGCUGAGGUGCGAAAGCGUGGGGAGCAAACAGG
This 404-nucleotide ribosomal RNA is filed under the name Actinomycetes bacterium. RNAcentral describes it as "Actinobacteria bacterium partial 16S ribosomal RNA". It matches the Rfam family "Bacterial small subunit ribosomal RNA", at positions 355 to 776 of the family's 1533-position model. Lineage: Bacteria; Bacillati; Actinomycetota; Actinomycetes. The record is from RNAcentral.